Erythranthe guttata (spotted monkey flower) is the source of this 95-nucleotide non-coding RNA. The record is from Rfam. NCBI's taxonomy places the organism in Eukaryota, Viridiplantae, Streptophyta, Magnoliopsida, Lamiales, Phrymaceae.
GGGUGCGAUCAUACCAGCACUAAUGCACCGGAUCCCAUCAGACCUCCGAAGUUAAGCGUACUAAAUAAGGGAGGUCUCUAAAAUAAUCGCUACAA